RNAcentral lists this ribosomal RNA (474 nucleotides) under uncultured organism. Its description in RNAcentral is "partial 16S ribosomal RNA". It matches the Rfam family "Bacterial small subunit ribosomal RNA", at positions 332 to 797 of the family's 1533-position model. The record is from RNAcentral.
UACACUCCUACGGGAGGCAGCAGUGGGGAAUUUUGGACAAUGGGCGAAAGCCUGAUCCAGCAAUGCCGCGUGAGUGAAGAAGGCCUUCGGGUUGUAAAGCUCUUUUGUCAGGGAAGAAACGGUGAGAGCUAAUAUCUCUUGCUAAUGACGGUACCUGAAGAAUAAGCACCGGCUAACUACGUGCCAGCAGCCGCGGUAAUACGUAGGGUGCAAGCGUUAAUCGGAAUUACUGGGCGUAAAGCGUGCGCAGGCGGUUUUGUAAGUCUGAUGUGAAAUCCCCGGGCUCAACCUGGGAAUUGCAUUGGAGACUGCAAGGCUAGAAUCUGGCAGAGGGGGGUAGAAUUCCACGUGUAGCAGUGAAAUGCGUAGAUAUGUGGAGGAACACCGAUGGCGAAGGCAGCCCCCUGGGUCAAGAUUGACGCUCAUGCACGAAAGCGUGGGGAGCAAACAGGAUUAGAAACCCUGGUAGUCCCA